Molecule: ribosomal RNA, 497 nt
Filed under: uncultured bacterium
Lineage: Bacteria
Description: partial 16S ribosomal RNA
Rfam family: Bacterial small subunit ribosomal RNA
Source: RNAcentral
GAUGAACGCUGGCGGCGUGCCUAAUACAUGCAAGUCGAGCGAACAGAUGAGGAGCUUGCUCCUCUGACGUUAGCGGCGGACGGGUGAGUAACACGUGGAUAACCUACCUAUAAGACUGGGAUAACUUCGGGAAACCGGAGCUAAUACCGGAUAAUAUAUUGAACCGCAUGGUUCAAUAGUGAAAGACGGUUUUGCUGUCACUUAUAGAUGGAUCCGCGCCGCAUUAGCUAGUUGGUAAGGUAACGGCUUACCAAGGCAACGAUGCGUAGCCGACCUGAGAGGGUGAUCGGCCACACUGGAACUGAGAAACGGUCCAGACUCCUACGGGAGGCAGCAGUAGGGAAUCUUCCGCAAUGGGCGAAAGCCUGACGGAGCAACGCCGCGUGAGUGAUGAAGGUCUUCGGAUCGUAAAACUCUGUUAUUAGGGAAGAACAAAUGUGUAAGUAACUAUGCACGUCUUGACGGUACCUAAUAAGAAAGCCACGGCUAACUACGUG